Molecule: transfer RNA, 64 nt
Filed under: Locustella pryeri pryeri
Lineage: Eukaryota; Metazoa; Chordata; Aves; Passeriformes; Locustellidae
Description: tRNA-Ser
Source: RNAcentral
AGGGGAGGUCAAACCAACAAGAACUGCUAACUCUCGCCUCUGGACUUAAAACCCCAGUCCCCUU